GAAGGCAGUUCAGUUUUUUAAAAUUAGCCCUACGACUCAUAAAAAUGAUUCUCGCAAAAGGUUCACUUCUUAAGAUGUCCAUACGCAAAAUUAUGGAAGAAAAAUACCAUGUUGAGAUGGCUGUAUUUUCUUCACAAAUAGAUAUUUCUUGUUGAUUUUUGUGGCACUUAGAAGAUGUCCCAGAUUAGAGAUAAUAGUAUCUUUUGAUUAAACAGAAGCUUUGCACUUCACUUUGAUGCACGUACUACCCUCAGAUAUGAUACUAUUAAUAGUUUUACACUCCUUCCAGCAAAGUUCAAACCAUGGUCAUUUCGCUGAUAAUCAGCCUUCAGAUAACAAACAGAUAAUAAACAGAUAUUGCUUGAUGCUUAUAUGGUAAAUAGGGUCAUACAUUUCUUGUUUUCUGUUUUGCAAGUUCGAUGGCCCAGGGCUACAAAAAAGUGCAGUGUGAAAUUGAAAAAGCAAAACUAGAGCUGAGAAUACUUCAGUCAUACUGGUGGGAAUUUGAAGUGUUAUUGAGAAAAGUAUUUACAAAUGGCUUUUUUUAAUGCAUCUCUAUAUAGUAUAGAACACUCAGCCUUGUUCUCAUAUUUUGUUCAGUUCGGAUGGUCACACACCCCUUAAAGUUAGAUAUUAGCACUGUUUAGUAAACCUUUCAUCUAGGUUUAUAGACUACAACAUUUAACCUUUCUCAUAAAAGGAGAUACUUACGUUAAUGUUAGAGGCACAAACAAGCCAGAGUCUUAGAGAACCUGGGAACCCCAAGGGUGUUGUUUAUGGGAAAGGUUUGGUCAACUCCCACACAGCACAGUUGCCACCAAUAGUCAUCUAACUAAUGUAUAAAAACUAGAAAACACAAGGAAAAAGUAAAUUACCCCAAAUCCAAUCCCCAGAAGCAAACACUUAAAGUUCUUCCAGACAUUGUCACAUAGAAAGAUAUUUCCUCCUUAAAAAAAAUUAUACUACACAUGCUCUUCUGUUGCCACUUAAAAAAGAAUUGUCCUUUCUUGUCAGUACAUAUAUCUGCAUUAUUUAAUGCAUAUGCAGUACAGGUUUUUAAUGUACCUGAAUUUAACCAACUGUUGCACAUUUGUUUCCAGUGUAACAAUUACAAUGCUGCAGUGAAGCAGUUAUCUUAAAAAUAUACAUGCAUGUGUGAUGUCCUGUAUACUAUCCCACUCUCAAAGUUAGAAAGUAUGUCCUACACCUGUCUCCCAUCACUCUGAGCACAGUGCCUAGCAUGCGGUAUAUUAGCCAAGAGGACUUAAAUCAGCAGUUCUCCACUAUGGGCAGUUUUGCCACCCUGUCCAGAUGGUGUCCAGACAGACAAAAUGUCUGGAAACAUUUUUGAUUGUCAGGACUAGAGGUGGGGCACUACUGAUAUUUUGUAUAGAGGCCAGGGAGCUGCUAAAUAUUGUACAAUAUGCAGGACAGCCCCCACAGCAUAAGCCUGUGCAAAAUGUCAACAGCACCACUAUGGAGAAACCGUGUUUAAAAUGAUGGAACAAACUACAUUCCACUGAAUUAAGACAUUGAGAUUUUCUUGCACACAACUAGGUGGCUUGCUCAAUUAGCUUUCCUCCAAAUGGGCACCUAGGGCUUCUGUCAUUCUGUGCCUUUGCUGUCUGAGAGCCAUUUGCUUUCAGAUAUUCAGACCGAAAGAAAGCUCACAAUAUCAUGCAGGAAGUUCUACGGCCUGGAAAGAGCAUCACACUUCUGCGCCCAACCACUUCCAUUAGCCAAAUCCUAGUCUUGUGACCCCCACCUAAACUGCAAGGAAGGCUGGGAAGUGUUGUCUUCUAUUUAUCUAGGAAAAGGAAAUGGGAUCUUUGGCAUCUUGCCGACUUCUGUCCCUUUUUUUUUUUUAAUUUAUUUUAAAAACUACAAAUUAAGAUUGGAGAAUGCCAACAUAACACAAAAUUGUUAGAUAAUCUCUUUAAAUACCAUGUUUGUGUAUAGCUGCUCAAUAGGUAUUUGUUGAAUCAUAAUUUUUAUUUUUAAAAGAUUUUAUUUGUUUGAGAGAGGGAGAGAGAAUAUGAGGCAGACUCCGCACUGGGCACAGACCCUGACGCGGGGCUCAAUGCACAGCCAUGAGAUCGUGACCUGAGCUGAAACCAAGCCUAACCAACUGAGCCACUUGUGCCCCAAUAGUGUGUUUUGUUUUUGUUUUUGUUUUUUUUAAGCAAUCAGGUAUUUAUUGAGGGCCUGCAAUGGACCUGCUGGUUAUCUUACAUCAUCUUCCCACCCUCAGAUCUACACUCCAUCCUUCACCUUGUUCUCUGUCCCAGGACCCUGACCUGACUGGGUUGUAUAGUCUCCCUCAUACACUGGCUUCCAGGUGAAUUUGCUGAAGAGGGAAGCCCAGCGGAGGUUGAGAUUAGGCUGUUUAUUUCCCACAUUCCACAUCAAGUUGGCUUGAGCUGGCAAAGUAACUAACCUGUCCUGCACAACCUUCUCCAACCGGGGUCUUGCCAGCUUGCCUUCCUCUCUUUCUUCUCUUUGGACCUAGGCUCCUCCAUUAUCCACACAUCCUGCCUACACCUUUGUGAGUAGUACAUUUAAAAACCAACUCGCUCAGAUGACCCUGAUUUGAGCGUGCUGCUUCAGUUGCAACCCUAGCUGGUAUUAUAGACAUGAAAACCCGAUGGGAACAGUGGGAAACGUUUUCUUUCAAAUACGAUACUAUGUCUGCCCUAAAAAAAAAAAAAAA
RNAcentral lists this long non-coding RNA (2710 nucleotides) under Canis lupus familiaris (dog). Its description in RNAcentral is "lncRNA (ENSCAFG00000053374.1)". The record is from RNAcentral. Lineage: Eukaryota; Metazoa; Chordata; Mammalia; Carnivora; Canidae.